GACGACUAUGACUAUGAAGCCUCUACUGAUAAACUGACGCACUGCUCAGGACAUGGAAUACUCCACGAACAAAAGUGGAGCUCGCCAAUAGCACUGGAAGGGAAGGAAGCCCUAACUCGUAGCAUGCUCGCCUGCAAAUCCGAUUCCUACGAUGUACGGAAGACCAACCUAGGUUCCCAAAAGAUAACGUCAGUACCAUCCAUUGUACUUAGUGAAUCUCAACAACGGGGGGAGAAACUUUAAUAACAUAUACAUUAUGAGCAAAGGUUCUAAAUGCAUAUAAUACAUAAAGCUUAUAAGAAUAAUUCUAAAAUAAUUGUAUAAUAGUAAUUUAUGAAUAUUCUAAAAAAAUUCUUUUCUUUUUCUUUCUUUAAAAAAAUACUUCACUGUAUUCUUUGGGAGUUUCAACUAUCCUGACUUAAUUUUGUCUCGGUUACCGUGUAAUCGGCACGGGUUCGACCCCAACCUGAUCGAAUAGGCCCAAUCCACACAGUGCCACUCGCUUCAUGGUUCUCAGCGUUCAUAUAUCAUACCUUAGCAUGACUAAGUAAUUUCUCAGCAACGAGACCAUCGGCUCAUGUGCUCCCUACUUUGGCAUAAGUAGUUUCAGGAAGUCAACGCCUUGGUCAGGACCCUCGGCCUGGACGAUGACCCCUUCUCAGAAUAAAGGAUACUCCAAAAAAUAUUUUCUUUCUAACACUUCUUCUUGUGACUUUUAAGUCUAAAUCUUGCAACCAUACUUAUUCUAAAAUUCUUAAAUGUAAGAUAUGACAUAAGACUGAAAUAAACAUUAAAAGCUAUUUUUAAAUAUUCUUGCUUUUUCAUGAAUUUUCAACAUGAAGAAAAUGGCAUAUAAGAAUCACAUAAAAAUCUGAAAAUUUAUGCACAUAUGUCAAAAUAAAUCAUCAAACUUUAACAAAAAAAAAAAUAAUAAUUCUAAGUUAAUAGGAACUCACUCACUUCAAUUAAAUACAUAUUCGCUCUUUUAGCCAAUUCAACAAACACCUUGUAUCCAUACUUUUAUGAGUUGAACCAUUUUGGUAAAGAGUUAUAUCAACUCACCUCAAAACUUCUCGAGCCAAUACGUAGGCAUGCAUACCUUUGUGAGUUAAACCACUUUGGUAAAGGGUUAUAUCAACUCACCUCAAAACUUCUCGAGCCAAUAAGUAGGUCCCAGUCCAAUUGACACCAGUCAAACAAUCGAUUCUACAAUAACCGGUGCAAUCUAAUCAAUUUUGAAGUACUACACCAAAAUAUGAAAUUCACUAUUGAUAUAGAGAAAAAAGUGAAUUAACUAUUCUAUUCUUAUGUACUACUACCGUUGGAUAAUUGACAAUUGAAAAUUUAUAUACCUGAGUUUAAGAAUUAGUGAUUUGUAAAGAACCCUAAAAAUUUUCGUUGGUUUCUUGAGUAUUUUCGCUGGGACAUGCCUAUGCCUUUAGACACAGAAGUCUGCUUGGAGUUUGUUUGUUUUUUUAUUUUGAGUAAGAAGUUUGCUUGGGUCUCUUUUUGU
This 1513-nucleotide long non-coding RNA is filed under the name Nicotiana benthamiana. Its description in RNAcentral is "long non-coding RNA (NBEN_LNC005769)". The record is from RNAcentral. Lineage: Eukaryota; Viridiplantae; Streptophyta; Magnoliopsida; Solanales; Solanaceae.